Molecule: long non-coding RNA, 1459 nt
Organism: Erinaceus europaeus (western European hedgehog)
Lineage: Eukaryota; Metazoa; Chordata; Mammalia; Eulipotyphla; Erinaceidae
Exons: 2
Source: RefSeq, a predicted model, not a curated record
GGGAGGGGAGAGGAGGAAGAAGUGUUCCAAGUGCAGGUAGCCUGUCACGGGUCAUCCACGCCGGACGGAAACGAAGGUGGAGAGGCUCCAAGAGAAAUCCGGAGGAGGUGAGGGAAGAGGAAGUCCCGGGCGGCCUGGAGGUCCUGGAAGUGGCAGAACUGGACAAUGGAACAAGCCAUGGCUCAGGGGCGCCUGCCUCGGGCGCUCGCCACCAACCCCCCACCACGCCCUGCUCCUCAGGCUCCCCGCGGCCACCAGCGCCGAGCCUGAGCAGCGCCGGACACGCAGGGGCGGGGCCACCACGCCGGAAGUCAUCGGCGCGCUCCGCCCACCCUGCCGCCCGGCGCAGGCGCACCGCGACCCAGGCGGCCGGGAGACCGCGUCACGUGACCUGCGGCGGCCGGAGCGGCCGACGUGGAAGUGGAGUUUGCCGGCCGACUGCCCUCCGCCGGGAAUCAAGCUUUUCAUUCACUUUCUGGCUUCUAGCCAGAGAUGAUCUCACUGGUCUUUGCCCGCGGGAGUGUGUGUGAUGGGAUGGAAGCAGAGCCAGGACUCUUUGAAACCAAUCCGAUUAAUGGCCUGAUGCUGGCACGGACCUGAUAGUUGAUCGAGAAUAAUCCUUGUCCAGUGGGAAACAGUGUCCUGCAAGGAUCGGAUUCGAUGAAAUUAAUUUAUUUUCCAGAAAUCAGCCCGGACCAAGCUAGGUCUGAAUGCGCCGCCUAUAUACCCAUAGUACUACGCACGCCUGAGACUGUGCAUUGCUCUUCCGCUGUCGUCACUCACUUGCUUCUUCAUUCAUCCCUUCAUCCAUUCAGCAAACUCUUGCGGCUUGUCUGCGCUACACCGGCCACUCAAGGCGCGAAGUAUAACGCACAGGACACAAGAGAUGAAACGCUAUUCUCAGUGGAGCUAAAAUUCAAGUGAAAAGUAGGCAGGUAUCUGGCCAUCCAACUGAAAUUGUGAUAAUACUAAGAAGGAAAGAAGUACAAAGUGCUGGGACCGAGCACACUAGGGGGAACUUACGUGGUUCUUUUGUGCUUGUUCUGGGUGGAAGAGAGUUUCCAACAACUGGAACAGACUAUUUAACUGUAAACCUCCGGUGGUUGGGAUAUUGUCUGACACCACUUUAUAUUCAGUAUGCCUGGCAUUGGGCCUGGCGUAUAUAUAGUGUUUACUAAAUGCUGCAGAACCAGGGACAUAGCUCAUCUGGUAGGACACUUGUCUGCCCAUGUGAACGACCCAGGUUUAAGCCCCUUGGCACAGCAUACAGCAGUGCUAGAGCUCCGAAGAAAGUUUCAGUGGUGUGAAACUCUCGCUCUGUCUCCAUCUGAAAAAGGGAGCAGAAGCAGUGAAAUCGUGUAUGCAUCAGGUCCCUGAGACACACAUACCCACAAAUUUGCUAAAGGGGUAACAUUGAAUGUGUAUGUUAAGUAAACCCAAUAACCUGCUUCUUUUCAAA